GAUCUUUAUUUUUGUUUUUUAUAAAUUAAUUAGAUAAAAAAAAUUUAUAAUAAAAUUAAAAAUUUUACUGGGGUGGUAUUAAAAUUUAAAAAACUUUUAUUUUUAUUUACAUUAAUAUAUGAAUAUUUGAUCCAAUAAUAUUGAUUAAAAAAUUAAGUUACCUUAGGGAUAACAGCGUAAUUUUUUUUUAGAGUUCAUAUCGACAAAAAAGAUUGC
This 216-nucleotide ribosomal RNA is filed under the name Sabethes sp. stE. RNAcentral's name for it is "partial 16S ribosomal RNA". The record is from RNAcentral. Lineage: Eukaryota; Metazoa; Arthropoda; Insecta; Diptera; Culicidae.